Molecule: ribosomal RNA, 815 nt
Filed under: Streptomyces youssoufiensis
Lineage: Bacteria; Bacillati; Actinomycetota; Actinomycetes; Kitasatosporales; Streptomycetaceae
Description: bacterial SSU rRNA
Rfam family: Bacterial small subunit ribosomal RNA
Source: RNAcentral
AGCCGCUUCGGUGGUGGAUUAGUGGCGAACGGGUGAGUAACACGUGGGCAAUCUGCCCUGCACUCUGGGACAAGCCCUGGAAACGGGGUCUAAUACCGGAUACGACUACCGACCGCAUGGUUGGUGGUGGAAAGCUCCGGCGGUGCAGGAUGAGCCCGCGGCCUAUCAGCUUGUUGGUGGGGUGAUGGCCUACCAAGGCGACGACGGGUAGCCGGCCUGAGAGGGCGACCGGCCACACUGGGACUGAGACACGGCCCAGACUCCUACGGGAGGCAGCAGUGGGGAAUAUUGCACAAUGGGCGAAAGCCUGAUGCAGCGACGCCGCGUGAGGGAUGACGGCCUUCGGGUUGUAAACCUCUUUCAGCAGGGAAGAAGCGAAAGUGACGGUACCUGCAGAAGAAGCGCCGGCUAACUACGUGCCAGCAGCCGCGGUAAUACGUAGGGCGCAAGCGUUGUCCGGAAUUAUUGGGCGUAAAGAGCUCGUAGGCGGCUUGUCACGUCGGAUGUGAAAGCCCGGGGCUUAACCCCGGGUCUGCAUUCGAUACGGGCAGGCUAGAGUUCGGUAGGGGAGAUCGGAAUUCCUGGUGUAGCGGUGAAAUGCGCAGAUAUCAGGAGGAACACCGGUGGCGAAGGCGGAUCUCUGGGCCGAUACUGACGCUGAGGAGCGAAAGCGUGGGGAGCGAACAGGAUUAGAUACCCUGGUAGUCCACGCCGUAAACGUUGGGAACUAGGUGUGGGCGACAUUCCACGUCGUCCGUGCCGCAGCUAACGCAUUAAGUUCCCCGCCUGGGGAGUACGGCCGCAAGGCUAAAACU